This 488-nucleotide unclassified non-coding RNA is filed under the name plant metagenome. Its description in RNAcentral is "partial contains 5.8S ribosomal RNA, internal transcribed spacer 2, and large subunit ribosomal RNA". The record is from RNAcentral.
CCCUUGCUGACGUUGAGGUGAGGAGAAUACUUUGGAGAGCCAGCAUUAUCGUCGACAGUUGCCUCCAGAUUCACUGGGUUCACCGCCUCGAGGAAAGGGACGAGAAGAGAAUCAUCCAUGAGUUCAUAGACGAUACGGCCAGCCUCUUCGAGUUCUCUGGGAUGGGGAGGGGUAGGCUUGCCGGAAAGACGCAGCAAUUGGUCUCGCACGCGAGAGGGGAUGUUGACUUCUCGGGGUGACCAGGGGGCGAUGUAGUUCUGCAUGAGCUUUCCCCAUAGGGCGCAGAGCUGCUCGUUAGCCUCAGGGUGGGAGGGCUUGUCGUUCUGGAUCUGGUCGUGGGCGGCUGCAUAUCUUUGAAGGUCGAUCGUAAACUCAAGGGUCUCCAUGCAAUGGUUCUGGGAGAGAUAUUCUGUGAAGGCACUUAGUGUCCAUGGAGGAGAGGAUACAUGGAGAAGGAUCUCGUUAAGGGUCGGUGUGCGGUUGCUCAA